AAUGCAAAUAUGUUGAGAUAGGGGGGUUUGAACUAAAUUCUGAAGGAGGGCAAUGGUUUUCUACCGAUAAUCAUAAUUACUGCGAUAAGCCGUGGCAUACUAAAAUAAUUAAAAAGAAAAAUUAAAGAUUUUUGGUAAUCUCAGAAGAGACUUUGGUGUGAAGCUAACGGGAUAUGCAGACGAUCCCGCUAUAAUCGUAUAAGGAAAAUUUAAUAAACAAGAAGACCAAAAUAUUUACGUGAACACUAAAUUUAAGCCAAAAGAGCUGGGUCUGGAUCUGAAUCCAGGCACGAUGGAGUUAGUAUUAUUCGUCAAGUCUGGGAUCUGUGUAGUAUACUAAACUAAACGAAAUCAGAUGAGCUGGCAGCUUCCAACUUAAGUGUGAGUAACUUCAUGGAUACCCAUGGCUGGCCAACAAAAGGAAGGACCUGUUCUGACCCGACUGCACUCGAUAUGAACAACUGGGGCUAAUACGCCAAGGAGAGAGCCCCAUCAAGCUACCAACCUUCUAUGUCCAUACAAUGCGCCAUGGGAAUCGUCUAUUAUUCGAAACCGUGCUGGUAAUCUUUUUCUCUCAGCUGCUUCAGGCGUAGGAUCUAGCGAACAAGGCGGAUGGUUAAAUACUGGAA
Long non-coding RNA from Rhagoletis pomonella (apple maggot), 629 nucleotides. RefSeq lists it as uncharacterized. The record is from RefSeq and is a predicted model, not a curated record. NCBI's taxonomy places the organism in Eukaryota, Metazoa, Arthropoda, Insecta, Diptera, Tephritidae. The transcript has 3 exons.